GACGAACGCUGGCGGCGUGCUUAAUACAUGCAAGUCGAGCGAACAGACGAUGAGCUUGCUCCUCUGACGUUAGCGGCGGACGGGUGAGUAACACGUGUAUAACCUACUUAUAUGACUGGUAUCACCUCGGGAAACCGGAGCUAAUACCGGAUAAGAUAUUGAACCGCAUGGUUCGAUAGUGAAAGACGGUGGUGCGGUCACUUAUAGAUGCAUCCCCGCCGCAUUAGCUAGUUGGUCAGGUAACGGCUUAUCAAGGGUACGAUGCGUAGCCGAACUGAGAGGCUGGUAGCCCACCCUGGAGCUGGGCCACGGUCCAGGCUACUACGGGACGCAGCAGUAGGGUAUCUUCCGCAAUAGUGGAGAGCCUGGCGGAGCGGGCCCGCGUGAGAUGUGGCGGUCUUGGGAUCGUGAUGCUCUCUUAUGGGUGGUAAACAGAUGUGUCCUUUACCAAGCACGGCUUGACGGUACCUGAUCAGGAAGCCCCGGCUAACUACGUG
RNAcentral lists this ribosomal RNA (497 nucleotides) under uncultured bacterium. RNAcentral's name for it is "partial 16S ribosomal RNA". It matches the Rfam family "Bacterial small subunit ribosomal RNA", at positions 28 to 507 of the family's 1533-position model. The record is from RNAcentral.